UACGUAGGGGGGAAGCGUUGUCCGGAAUCAUUGGGCGUAAAGCGCGUGUAGGCUGCUCGAUAAGUCUGCUGUGAAAGUCCAGGGCUCAACCCUGGAAAGCCGGUGGAAACUGUCGGGCUAGAGUCCGGAAGAUGCGAGUGGAAUUCCUGGGGUAGCGGUGAAAUGCGCAGAUAUCAGGAGGAACACCAAUGGCGUAGGCAGCUCGCAGGGACGGUACUGACGCUGAAACUCGAAAGCGUGGGGAGCAAACAGG
RNAcentral lists this ribosomal RNA (253 nucleotides) under uncultured bacterium. Its description in RNAcentral is "partial 16S ribosomal RNA". It matches the Rfam family "Bacterial small subunit ribosomal RNA", at positions 524 to 776 of the family's 1533-position model. The record is from RNAcentral.